This 253-nucleotide ribosomal RNA is filed under the name uncultured bacterium. Its description in RNAcentral is "partial 16S ribosomal RNA". It matches the Rfam family "Bacterial small subunit ribosomal RNA", at positions 524 to 776 of the family's 1533-position model. The record is from RNAcentral.
GACAGAGGGUGCAAACGUUGUUCGGAAUUACUGGGCGUAAAGCGCGUGUAGGCUGCUCAGAAAGUCGGAUGUGAAAGCCCUGGGCUUAACCUAGGAAGUGCAUUUGAAACUUCUGAGCUUGAGUUCUGGAGAGGAAGGCGGAAUUCUCGGUGUAGAGGUGAAAUUCGUAGAUAUCGAGAGGAACACCGGUGGCGAAGGCGGCCUUCUGGACAGUGACUGACGCUGAGACGCGAAAGCGUGGGGAGCAAACAGG